GCGGCUAUAUGCAGUCGAGCGGACGGGGGAGCUUGCUCCUUCCGGUUUAGCGGCGGACGGGUGAGUAACACGUGGGCAACCUGCCCUGCAGAUCGGGAUAACUCCGGGAAACCGGUGCUAAUACCGAAUAGUUUGAGGCCUCUCCUGAGGCUUCACGGAAAGACGGUUUCGGCUGUCACUGCAGGAUGGGCCCGCGGCGCAUUAGCUAGUUGGUGGGGUAAUGGCCCACCAAGGCCACGAUGCGUAGCCGACCUGAGAGGGUGACCGGCCACACUGGGACUGAGACACGGCCCAGACUCCUACGGGAGGCAGCAGUAGGGAAUCUUCCGCAAUGGACGCAAGUCUGACGGAGCAACGCCGCGUGAGUGACAAGGUUUUCGGAUCGUAAAACUCUGUUGUGAGGGAAGAACACGUACCAACUAACUAUUGGUACCUUGACGGUACCUCACCAGAAAGCCACGGCUAACUACGUGCCAGCGCCGCG
RNAcentral lists this ribosomal RNA (484 nucleotides) under Planococcus maritimus. RNAcentral describes it as "bacterial SSU rRNA". It matches the Rfam family "Bacterial small subunit ribosomal RNA", at positions 46 to 519 of the family's 1533-position model. The record is from RNAcentral. Lineage: Bacteria; Bacillati; Bacillota; Bacilli; Caryophanales; Caryophanaceae.